This 251-nucleotide ribosomal RNA is filed under the name uncultured bacterium. RNAcentral describes it as "partial 16S ribosomal RNA". It matches the Rfam family "Bacterial small subunit ribosomal RNA", at positions 524 to 774 of the family's 1533-position model. The record is from RNAcentral.
UACGUAUGGAGCAAGCGUUAUCCGGAUUUACUGGGUGUAAAGGGAGCGUAGGCGGCCCUGUAAGUCUGAUGUGAAAAUUUGGGGCUCAACCCCAAACGUGCAUUGGAAACUGCAGGGCUUGAGUGCCGGAGAGGCAGGCGGAAUUCCUAGUGUAGCGGUGAAAUGCGUAGAUAUUGGGAGGAACACCAGUGGCGAAGGCGGCCUGCUGGACGGUAACUGACGCUGAGGCUCGAAAGCGUGGGGAGCAAACA